Molecule: ribosomal RNA, 489 nt
Filed under: Ostrea edulis (European flat oyster)
Lineage: Eukaryota; Metazoa; Mollusca; Bivalvia; Ostreida; Ostreidae
Description: partial 16S ribosomal RNA
Rfam family: Bacterial large subunit ribosomal RNA
Source: RNAcentral
CACUGGAAGAUUAAUGACUUUCAGCAAUGCCUGCCCAGUGCGAUCAAAAGUCGUAAACGGCCGCCCUAGCGUGAGGGUGCUAAGGUAGCGAAAUUCCUUGCCUUUUAAUUGUAGGCCUGCAUGAAUGGUUUGACGAGGGCUUAACUGUCUCUAGUUUGUAAGUCUAAAUUGGAUUAAAGGUGAAGAUACCUUUAUAAAAAAGUCAGACAAGAAGACCCCGUGCAACUUUUAAAGUCAACUUGUUUAGGAGUUUCAGAUUUUUAGGUGGGGCGCCUAUUAAGUAAUAUUAACCUUAGUGUACGAUAAAACUUUCAAGUAUAGACCCGACAAUGUCGAUCAUAGGAGAAGUUACGCCGGGGAUAACAGGCUAAUCCACUAGUAGAGAACGUAUUGGCUAGUGGGAUUGGCACCUCGAUGUUGAAUCAGGGAUGAUACCUCUAAGGCGUAGAAGCUUUGGAAGUGGGUCUGUUCGACCUUUAAUACCCUACG